This 578-nucleotide ribosomal RNA is filed under the name uncultured bacterium. RNAcentral's name for it is "bacterial SSU rRNA". It matches the Rfam family "Bacterial small subunit ribosomal RNA", at positions 8 to 572 of the family's 1533-position model. The record is from RNAcentral.
AGAGUUUGAUCCUGGCUCAGAUUGAACGCUGGCGGCAGGCCUAACACAUGCAAGUCGAGCGGCAGCGGGAAAGUAGCUUGCUACUUUUGCCGGCGAGCGGCGGACGGGUGAGUAAUGCCUGGGAAAUUGCCCAGUCGAGGGGGAUAACAGUUGGAAACGACUGCUAAUACCGCAUACGCCCUACGGGGGAAAGCAGGGGACCUUCGGGCCUUGCGCGAUUGGAUAUGCCCAGGUGGGAUUAGCUUGUUGGUGAGGUAAUGGCUCACCAAGGCGACGAUCCCUAGCUGGUCUGAGAGGAUGAUCAGCCACACUGGAACUGAGACACGGUCCAGACUCCUACGGGAGGCAGCAGUGGGGAAUAUUGCACAAUGGGGGAAACCCUGAUGCAGCCAUGCCGCGUGUGUGAAGAAGGCCUUCGGGUUGUAAAGCACUUUCAGCGAGGAGGAAAGGUUGGUAGCUAAUAACUGCCAACUGUGACGUUACUCGCAGAAGAAGCACCGGCUAACUCCGUGCCAGCAGCCGCGGUAAUUACGGAGGGGUGCAGCGUUAAUCGGAAUUACUGGGCGUAAAGCGCACGC